CCUACGUGUGGCAGCAGUGGGGAAUAUUGCACAAUGGGGGAAACCCUGAUGCAGCGACGCCGCGUGAGUGAAGAAGUAUUUCGGUAUGUAAAGCUCUAUCAGCCGGGAAGAAAUAGCGACCUUUGGGUCGCCAGACGGUACCUGACUAAGAAGCCCCGGCUCACUACGUGCCAGGCGCCGCGGUAAUACGUAGGGGGCACGCGUUAUCCGGUGUUACGGGGUGUAAAGGGAGCGUAGACGGCAGCGCAAGUCUGAAGUGAAAUGCCGGGGCUUAACCCCGGAACUGCUUUGGAAACUGGGCAUCUAGAGAGAAGGAGAGGUAAGUGGAAUGCGUAGUGUAGCGGUGAAAUGCGUAGAUAUUAGGAGGAACACCAGUGGCGAAGGCGACGAUCUGGCCUGCAACUGACGCUCAGGCCCGAAAGCGUGGGGAGCAAAUAGGAUUAGAUACCCUGGUAGUC
RNAcentral lists this ribosomal RNA (458 nucleotides) under uncultured bacterium. RNAcentral's name for it is "partial 16S ribosomal RNA". It matches the Rfam family "Bacterial small subunit ribosomal RNA", at positions 338 to 795 of the family's 1533-position model. The record is from RNAcentral.